UUGUGUGACAAUUAGCCCAGGUAUUUGUCCUUUAAUGAUGGACGUCCUGAAAGACAAUGUUAAAAAACUAAAACCAAGUGAACGAUACUGUACGGUUUUGUUCGAUGAAGUGUGUCUAUCGAGUGGUUUAUCAUACAAUUCUGUUACGGACGAAGUAGACGGUUUUGUUCAUACUGGAAAAUCCAAGAACCAAAAUGUUGCAGAUCAUGCUCUUGUUUUCAUGAUUCGUGGUAUACGGAAAAAAUACAAACAACCCAUUGCCUAUUCAUUUUGUCAGGGUGCAACAAAACAAGACGAAUUGGUUCGUCAGCUGAAAGAAGUUAUUCGUAAUGUUCAUGACACCGGGUUGCGGGUUUUAGCCACCAUUAGUGACCAAGGUACGGCAAAUGUAGCUGCCAUCAAUAUACUAAAACGUGACACAAGAGCAUAUCAACUUAAAAACAACAUGGCAUGUACCGAUGAAUUUUAUGAAGUUGAAGUUAAUAAUCUUCAUAGAUUAAAACUUGUACAUAUUUUUGAUGUGCCACAUUUAAUAAAGUGUAUUAGAAACAAUCUAAUCACUAAAGAUUUAAUUUUUUGUGUUGAUGGAGUACAAAAACGAGCGAAAUGGUCACAUAUACUGGAGUUAUAUAAUGAAGACUGCAAGAUACCGGACUGAAAAAUGUUGCCUAGGCUCUCAGACAAUCAUGUUAUUCCAGAGAAAAUAUUCAAGAUGAAAGUGAAGUGCGCAGCACAAGUCUUCUCCCAGAGAGUUUCAUCUACAAUGAAUUUUUUAUCAUCUCGAAAUAUUAUUAGCCCAGAUGCUGUAGAUACUGCUUUUCUCUGUCAGUUUUUUGAUAAUCUCUUCGAUUCUUUGAACGGCAGCUUUGACAAGAUUGUAGAUGGCAAAAAAUAUC
Molecule: unclassified non-coding RNA, 896 nt
Filed under: Acyrthosiphon pisum (pea aphid)
Lineage: Eukaryota; Metazoa; Arthropoda; Insecta; Hemiptera; Aphididae
Description: uncharacterized LOC107882352, transcript variant X1
Source: RNAcentral